Serinus canaria (Common canary) is the source of this 954-nucleotide long non-coding RNA. RefSeq lists it as uncharacterized. The record is from RefSeq and is a predicted model, not a curated record. The transcript is spliced from 2 exons. NCBI's taxonomy places the organism in Eukaryota, Metazoa, Chordata, Aves, Passeriformes, Fringillidae.
AGCAGAGACCAUCCGCCUCCUCCUUCGCCUCGGGCUGCAGGAUUGCACCGGGAAACGAUUUUGGGAAGGCAGAAAGACAGUUUGGGAGAAGGGAAGAGAAAAAAAAGGGGGAAAAAUUAAAAAUAUAGAGGAGUUGCUUGAAUUUAGCAGCCGUUUAUCGGCAGGAGCGCACACGCCGUCCCGGGUGGGAGCCCCAGCCGCAGCCCCGGUGGGCAGCGGGGUCGGGGCCGCUCUCGGACUAGCGCUUCCCAAAAUAGGGAGGGUUCAAAGCCCCUGAGUGUGCCCGUGGCUGUGCGGGGGACACUCCCCAGGGGGACACUCCCCAGCUCCGGCCGGCUCGCCCGGGGCGAGGGGCGCUGCCAGAAGGUGACCGUAGUGCUGCCCCGGCCGGGGCUGAGAGACGGACGGACGGACGGAGGGACGGCUGAUGGACGGAGCGGUUGUUUGCCGUCUCGGGAGGGAGCCCUUCCAGAAGAGGAGGAAUAACCUGUCCCGGGAGGUCUCCUUGGCGAAACACGGGGGGAACACGCGUGGGAGCGCAGAGAGCGGCGACCCCUCCGAAAAUGGUUUUGGUCGGAGCGAGAGGGGUUUGGUUCUCUCCCCGAGGGGUUCGCUCCCAGGAAAAGCGGCGCUUGGGCCGGCAGGGACUUUAUUUAAUGGACGGCAACGUUUUCCAAUAGUAACAAUAACGGAGGGGCAAACCAGCCCAGAAACCCGAGCUCAGCAGCAGCCGGGCGAGCAUCCUCGACCCCGGGACCGGGAGUGCAGCCGGGCAGCAGCUCCGGACACCCGCCCGGCCGUGCUCGCCGGCACGCAGAUCUGUGGUUACGGCCGAUGACACUUUAUGCACAGCUUUCUCUGCAGGUCGUAUUCAGAAAGCAGUUUUAUAUACAUUUUAUCGAUUUAUAUAGCUCAAAUGCUUGUGUGUGAUUAUAUAAAGUUGAUAUAAAGAAA